CCACCUCAUUUCCUCUUGCUCCCAUUUUCGUCACUCUCACACUCUCCCUCCUCCAUUUCACUUUCUCUCUCUAAAUCUCAAGCUUCUCUCUAAGGUUUGAGCUACCUAAAGGAAGAUCUAGGUAGGGAGCACAAAGGAAAGUUGUUCUACUCUUCAAGAUCUUCAUUUCUCAUCUGGUCUUGCAUGUAUUUAGGGAUUUUUGAGCUUAGGAGUUAAGGGCUUGGGUUACAUUCUUAAGGAUAUGGCAAGGACAUUGUAGACGAUGUACCCCCGCAAGCUUAAAGUGUAGGGAUGAACUUUUGACACCUUUUGUAAUGGACUAGUAUGAACAAUGAUUUUGUAAUGUAAUCAUAAUCUUUUGUAUUUGUAUAAAUGUUUCAAAGAUGUAUGAAUGAUGAUAUUUAUAAAUUUUAUGUAAUGUUAAAUGGUUGAUGA
Cornus florida is the source of this 435-nucleotide long non-coding RNA. RefSeq lists it as uncharacterized. The record is from RefSeq and is a predicted model, not a curated record. The transcript has 2 exons. NCBI's taxonomy places the organism in Eukaryota, Viridiplantae, Streptophyta, Magnoliopsida, Cornales, Cornaceae.